UGCUAAGUGGGGAAGAAGUCCUGAGCUGAUCAAAAUAAUGCUGAUGAGGACAGGUGAAGCAGAUCCAGUGAUGUUUGUUCUUCACCCUUUCCCACAACCUGCAAAGCCAAGACUGACAACAAGUAAUAACUCCUGGGAACCAUGGCAUGGAGUCUUCAUCCCAGAAUCUAAGAAUGCAGGAGAGUGUUUCCUGUGCAGAAAGCACAAUCUUCCCCCACCACUGGCCAUCCACCCAACACGCUCACUGGGCUAACUGAACUGACACGGCACUCCGGAAGCAGCCGUUGGGCCACAGCUGAGGCCAACUGGAGUGCGCCCAGUGAAGUCUGGAGAUCCCGAG
Molecule: long non-coding RNA, 340 nt
Filed under: Fukomys damarensis (Damara mole-rat)
Lineage: Eukaryota; Metazoa; Chordata; Mammalia; Rodentia; Bathyergidae
Description: lncRNA (ENSFDAG00000027561.1)
Source: RNAcentral